This 429-nucleotide ribosomal RNA is filed under the name uncultured bacterium. Its description in RNAcentral is "bacterial SSU rRNA". It matches the Rfam family "Bacterial small subunit ribosomal RNA", at positions 355 to 776 of the family's 1533-position model. The record is from RNAcentral.
UGGGGAAUAUUGCACAAUGGGGGAAACCCUGAUGCAGCCAUGCCGCGUGUGUGAAGAAGGCCUUCGGGUUGUAAAGCACUUUCAGCUGUGAGGAAGGGUGAGUCGUUAAUAGCGGUUCAUCUUGACGUUAGCAGCAGAAGAAGCACCGGCUAACUCCGUGCCAGCAGCCGCGGUAAUACGGAGGGUGCGAGCGUUAAUCGGAAUUACUGGGCGUAAAGCGCAUGCAGGCGGUCUGUUAAGCAAGAUGUGAAAGCCCCGGGCUCAACCUGGGAAAGUCAUUUUGAACUGGCAGGCUAGAGUCUUGUAGAGGGGGGUAGAAUUUCAGGUGUAGCGGUGAAAUGCGUAGAGAUCUGAAGGAAUACCGGUGGCGAAGGCGGCCCCCUGGACAAAGACUGACGCUCAGAUGCGAAAGCGUGGGGAGCAAACAGG